GGGGAUUUAGCUCAGUGGCAUAAGCGCCUGCCUGGCAAGCACGAAGUUGUGAGUUCAAUCCCUA
Molecule: transfer RNA, 64 nt
Filed under: Cavia porcellus (domestic guinea pig)
Lineage: Eukaryota; Metazoa; Chordata; Mammalia; Rodentia; Caviidae
Rfam family: tRNA
About the family: Transfer RNA (tRNA) molecules are approximately 80 nucleotides in length. Their secondary structure includes four short double-helical elements and three loops (D, anti-codon, and T loops). Further hydrogen bonds mediate the characteristic L-shaped molecular structure. tRNAs have two regions of fundamental functional importance: the anti-codon, which is responsible for specific mRNA codon recognition, and the 3' end, to which the tRNAs corresponding amino acid is attached (by aminoacyl-tRNA synthetases). tRNAs cope with the degeneracy of the genetic code in two manners: having more than one tRNA (with a specific anti-codon) for a particular amino acid; and 'wobble' base-pairing, i.e. permitting non-standard base-pairing at the 3rd anti-codon position.
Source: Rfam by way of RNAcentral